AGCGAACGCUGGCGGCAGGCCUAACACAUGCAAGUCGAACGAACCUUUCGGGGUUAGUGGCGGACGGGUGAGUAACCCGUGGGAACGUGCCUUUAUGUUCGGAAUAACUCAGGGACACUUGUGCUAAUACCGAAUGUGCCCUUCGGGGGAAAGAUUAAUCGCCGUUAGAGCGGCCCGCGUCUGAUUAGCUAGUUGGUUGAGGUAAUGGCUCACCAAGGCGACGAUCAGUAGCUGGUCUGAGAGGAUGAUCAGACACAUUGGGACUGAGACGCGGCCGAAACUCCUACGGGAGGCAGCAGUGGGGAAUCGUGCGAAAUGGGCGAAAGCCUGACGCAGCCAGGCCGCGUGAAUGAUGAAGGUCUUAGGAUUGUAAAAUUCUUUCACCGGGGACGAUAAUGACGGUACCCGGAGAAGAAGCCCCGGCUAACUUCGUG
RNAcentral lists this ribosomal RNA (434 nucleotides) under uncultured bacterium. RNAcentral's name for it is "partial 16S ribosomal RNA". It matches the Rfam family "Bacterial small subunit ribosomal RNA", at positions 29 to 507 of the family's 1533-position model. The record is from RNAcentral.